CAAUAGAGAAACCGGAGUACCCGGAGAAACCCCACACAGGCACGGGGAGAAAAUGCAAACUCCACACUGGCGGCAGAUGUGCUAACCAGUUUCCACCGUGCCGCCACAAGUUCAACAAUUUCAAGUAUUUAUUUGUUUAUUUUAGUGGAAGGGGGAGUCACAGCUUCAAAAACCACCACAUUCAGACGCAUCCGGGAGGUGGGCUACAACUGUCGGGUUCCUCGGAUCAAGCCGCUUCUGAGACUGAGCCAACGUAGGAAGCGUCUCAACUGGGCCAAGGAGAAGAAGGACUGGGCUGUUGGCCAGUGGCCCGAGGUCCUCUUUUCCAAUGAAAGUAAAGUGUGCCUUUUAUUCAGGAAUCAAGGUCCAAGGAUUUGGAGGAAGACGGGUGAAGAACAGAACCCAAGCUACUUGAGGUCACCGCAACAGUCUACCAGAAUGUUUGAGAGGACUUCAUGAUUCCUUCUACUGAGGAUCUAUAUGGAGAUGCAGAUUUCAUCUUCCAACAGGACCUGGCCCCUGCCCCUAGCACCAGAAGCACCAAAACCUGGUUCGAUGCCCAUGGCAUCACAGUGCUUGACUGGCCAGCCAACUCGCCGGAUAUAAACCUCAUUGAGAGUCUAAGGGGUAUUAUCAAGAGGAAAAUGAGGGGCACCAGAACCCAAAAUAAAGAAGAACUGACAGCAUCAAGGAAAUCUGGGCUUCCAUAACUCCCAGGCAAAGCCACAAGCUGAUUGCCUCAAUGCCACGGCGCAUCGAGGCAGUGAUUAAAGCAAACGGAUUCCCAACCAAGUAUUGAAGAUUAACGUAUCGUUUUGAAAGUACCCUAUUUUGAUUGAUUUAAUGUGACCCUAAUUUCUUUCUCUUUUUUUUUCCUCUACAAAAACUGAGAGGUGAAUGGUGAUCUCGCUUGUAGUGUCAGUAGUCCUGUCUUGUUUCUAGUUUUAGGUUUAUUCAAGUGUUCCUUUGUUACUUUGAUUAUCAGUUUGGGGACUUUGUUUACUUUCCUUUUUCCAUGAUACUUGUUUGCCUUUUAUUGGGAAUUAAAUAUCAUUUUUGAGA
Molecule: long non-coding RNA, 1062 nt
Organism: Phyllopteryx taeniolatus (common seadragon)
Lineage: Eukaryota; Metazoa; Chordata; Actinopteri; Syngnathiformes; Syngnathidae
Exons: 2
Source: RefSeq, a predicted model, not a curated record